UCAGCUCAUCACAAGCUAAUUCAACACUUUCAUCUGUAACCAUUUUUGAAGGGUAUUAUUUAUUAUUAAUUUUGAACAGUAAUGAUAGCGUACAGUAUUAAGCAUUAUGUAACUGAAUAGUAAAUCUAUAUUGCACAAUAACCACUAACAAAUGUAAAAAAAAAAAAAAAAAAAAAAGUAAAAAAAUUCAGUAUUUAAAAAAAAAAUGUAUCUGUAUUUUUUAACAGAUAUACGCACAGACAGAAUAUAGGAAAAGUAAAUCUGUAUUACACUGGCUGUUAUAAUAUAUUUUGCAUGAGUUUAUAAACACUCUGGAUUGUUGUGCAUCUCUCUUCUUCUCACAGGUGAGAAACAUGUUUCUAAAUACAUAUUCAUUUUAGAAAUUUUUUAUUUUCUUUUUGUUGAGUUCAUGUUAUAUAUGUGUACAGGAUCUGAAUCUCAGCAUCACUUCAGACUCUAUUUACAGUUUGCUUAACUUUAGUGUAGUUUAUACAAGCAACUGUUACAUUUUCUAAUCUCUCAGUACUAAUAUUACUACAGAUCAUCAGAAGUGCACUGUUUUCAAAAGUGAAAUGUUUUCAGUUGUGUUGGUACAAAACAUAAAAUCAAUACUGUUCGUAACCCCGGUUCUCUGAAACAUCGAGUGGAGACAUGCCCUUGGAUCUUGAACACGAGAUAACGAACGAGAACAAGUAUCCUAUUCUCUACACAACACAAGUGUUUCAUCUAUACAGCAUAAUCGUUUCAUUUACAGUAACUGCCAUUCAUAAUGCUCAAACAUUUCAUUUGCAUCUCUUCUCAUUCAGUGUAAUACAUUAAUCUAUUAUUUAAUCUGAUCUUAACAAUUAAUCAAUGAAUAAUUUGGUACAUCUACAGAUUUCUAUAGCCAAAUUCUAUAGAAACUGCAGUUUCUGAUAUGGAUAAUGGUGAUUAAAACUGUGAAUUACAACCAAUUUUCUUCAUUUACAGUGUGUCCUGAUCCAGACAGUGUCAUUUAGAUUACCGUAAUCAAACAGGAUCAAAAUGAGAUACGACUGGAGUGUAGAAAGAAAAACACAUGAAAACUGCUGGAGCAUCAGAAACCACAGAACAGGCAAAAACAAGAGAACUACAAGAAAAAUAGACGCCAGAAAUGAAACACAAACCAGUGAAUCAGAAGAGAAUAUCAGACAGAGACUUGUGAGACGGAAGAGUAUGGACAGAAUAAAUCCAGACUUCUAAUGUGAUCCAGACGGGCCUGUAAAGAUUCAGUCUGAGUUCAGAUCUGAGGUGAGAUUCUCACAUCAAAACCCUUCAGAUGUUCUCAAGAACAAACACCAUUACUGAGACACCAGCAGCAGAAAACCUGAACAUCUUCAUCAUCAUCUUCAUCAUCAUCAUCUCAGACUGCAUCCAUCCAGACUACAAUCUGUUCAGCUCAUGGAUUCUUUCAGCUUUUUCAGACUCAUCUGAUCACAAACAAACAGACUCUUGAACAAACUCUUUCUCAGAUCUGUGUCUCAAUACUGCUGUCACGAUAUCACUGAGUUUGGAAUUUUAGUUUUUCCUUUUGUAGUGUUUGUUGCCAUGGUUACUGGUUUGAUUGACAGGAGAUCCGACCCACAAACCUGACAGUAAAAUGGCGUGUCUUUGAUUUCGUUUUAUUAUUUUGUUCAGAUUUUGUUUUCGAUGGAUCACUUCACCGUCGUUCACCUGCUUUGCCUUGAGCAGAGGAAGCGCUCCCUCGAGGAGCUUGUGGAGGAAUUCAGAUCACAUUCCCUGAGCUCGAUCCUGCACUGAACCCUGUUACACGAGCGCAGCUAUCUGGGAGGGUUUAUGUGGAUUGAGUGGGUGCUGGUUUCCUGUGAAUCAGAAGGAGAAGCUGAAGACCAUACAAUCGUCCUUGAGCCUGAGCCGAUAGAUGCGUCUCAUCAGGUGUGUGAUCCGGCAACACCUCACCUGCUGGAGGAGUGCUGGUGGAUUCGAGGAGAUGGAAGUGAGCUCCACACACCGCUGACAGAGACUGUUUGCUGGAAUGUGACUGUGUUUUUCAGUUUGGAGAAGAAGAGACUUUGCUCCACUUAAAGGAUAAGUUCACUUCCAAAAUAAAAAUGUCCUGAUAAUUUACUCACCCCCUGUUAUCCAAGAUGUUCAUGUCUUUCUUUCUUCAGUUGAAAGGAAUUGAGGUUUUUGAGGAAAACAUUCCAGGAUUUUUCUCCAUAGAGUGGACUUUGAAGGUCCAAAAUGCAGUUUCAGUGCAGCUUCAAAGAGCUCUACACGAUCCCAGACGAGGAAUAAGGGUCUUAUCUAGCGAAACGAUCAGCCAUUUUCUUAAAAAAUAUAUAUUUAUACACUUUUAACCACAAAUGCUUGGCUUGCUCCAGCUCUGCGAUGCACACAUUACGUAAUCCUGUUGGAAGGUCACACACGGUUAUUUCUUCUUCUUUGUACGUUGGUUAAAAACUCCAUCUCAUUUUCUCCUCCAACUUUAAAAUCAUCUAACACCGUUGUUUUACCCUUGUUUUGUAAAGUGCAUUUGACUUUUUUGGAAGAAUGUGUGUAAAAUCAUGCAUCAGUCAUAAAAAGUCUCGUUAUCAAAGCUGCUAAAAGUUGGUUUGCUAUAAGUUUCAGCAUUAGUAUUUGUGAGUUGAAAACUGAAUUACAUUCACUGAAUUAACUUUUAAAAAUAUGAUGUGUAUUAAAUAGAAUUUAAGGAAUUGUUAAUAGAAAUGUGUCACUAGUGUUUUCUAUUUAUUGUGAUACAUUACGGUUGUUUCCAUCUUUGUCCAGUAGAUGGCACAAGUAUAUUUUUCACUGCAAUCUCAAAGGCUUUUAGUUUCAGGUUCCAGUGAGAAGAGAUCUGAUCUGAAGAUGAAUGAGGAUCAUAAUCUCACACAUGGAGCAUAAAGAGACUCAUCACACACAUCUGAUGUGUCUGAAUCUGAAUCAUGUUAUAUUACAGGAUCAGUGAUAAUCAGCUUCAUGAGGAUAUAACUGCUUUAAGAGAGAAGGAGAGAGCUGAUGACAAAUCUGACAACAAUAGUUUGAAAAACAAUAUGAAAACUAUGACUAUCAAUAUGAAGAUAUGAAAACUGGGAUUAAUAUCAGCUUGUACAGUUUGUACAGUAUAAUGGCUGAAAGGUUAUGCAAGACAAGAACAGUUCAAACUUAUAAUAAACUACUGAUUCUUAGUAAUACAAAGGUUCUGGUCAUAGAAGCAACACAACAAUAAGCACAAACGUAAAAAAUAGAUUAAAACAGUAGGCCUACGUAAAACAGUAUCUAGUAUAUAAGUUGCUAAACGUUUGAGCAGGUUUUGGGUGUGUUUCUGAGAUUUUUGUGAGUUUUAUGAAAUUAAUUUACAUUAAAUUUCUGUUUUAUUU
This is a long non-coding RNA of Onychostoma macrolepis, 3362 nucleotides long. RefSeq lists it as uncharacterized. The transcript is spliced from 3 exons. NCBI's taxonomy places the organism in Eukaryota, Metazoa, Chordata, Actinopteri, Cypriniformes, Cyprinidae. The record is from RefSeq and is a predicted model, not a curated record.